AUUUCAUUUAUAGAAGCGACCUUUAAAUACAUUUACUUAAAUAAUAGCUCAUUCUAAUCAUCCUAUACUGAUCUAUCUCAAAAUGAGCUUUGCAGACACAUAUUAUUAUUACAUCGAUAUUAAUUAAUGGCACGUCACGAUUCCAAUUCGCGCGAUACAUCUAUCUCGCAUUUAAUUUCAAUAUUGUCAUUAUUAUUUCAAUAUUUCGACUAAAUAACUCUGGAUAAAUCCCCUUACUAUAAACCCGUUACAUUAAUGAUUAACGAUGUAGAACCGCGAUUGCAGUCGAUUAUAUGAUAUACGCGGUUUCCGUAUUUCCAUGUUACAUGCUGUUCAAAUUCUAACUGGAUAACUCGGUACAUAUACACUACAAUCUUGUUUCGAAACACGUUGCCGAACACCUGUAAUGUCGUGCAAAAGUUAUGUAAGAUAUGUCAACUGCGAUGUGACCGAAUUUCGGCCGAAUCUGCAAAGAAAAAUAAGCGCCAAAGAUGUUAUGAUUGUCUAUGAUGUACCAUUUUUACAGCUUGUUCCAUUUGAUUCGAUUAACGAGUCGAGUCGCAUUUGAGAAAAUCACGAUCUUAGUGGCGGGCGGAAAUUCAGCUCGAGUCUCCGAAUAAACAUUUGCCGAAUGAAUCUUAGCCGAGAGAGGAGGAGAAAUUACGAAAUUUUUAAAAACUCCAUCUUUAUGCCGAAAUACCAUCUAGUUUCUAGUUAAUGCGCUCGCGCACGUCGGAAUAAAAUCGAUUCUCGCAGAAACGUUCUUAAAAUAUACGAUAGGACGUCACUUCUUUCUUUUUCCCUGUCUGUCGUGUCCUUAUGGACGAUGAACUCCGAGGAAUUUUCGUGAUAGCCGCUCCCUCCUUGUGACUCGCAAAAGUUUCUGUCGUCGCAAAUUUUAUAUUCAUUCCAGACUACUAUCCGGAAGAGGACGACGGUAAUUGGACAUGCGUGGCCGGACUCGUGGGUAAAAACGGUCACUUGGAGGAAGCCUGGGACAAUGUCAUGUGUCAUAAAAUUCCGUAUGCGUCCAGAAUGACGGUCUUUAUCGUUAAGCGCCUUAGCUUCGUGGUCAUCGGUAUCACACUGAUAAUCGUCGUCUUUGGUACCUUCGGUUACGUCUUGGGCCGAUAUAGGCUUCGUCGAAUGAUGUCGAGAGACAUCAUUAACGACUCAUCAAGCUACAGCCCGCAGACGGUGGCCUUGAUAUCAUUCGUAUGGCGAGACCGCAGCAGAAAGAUAAUAAUAUCGUAUCAGCUCGCGAAAUUUCGUUUUAAUACAAUGUGUUAAUUAACCGCUCCGUUAAUCAAGAAACUUCGAGAAGCGCCGGAUACUUUGCGGAUGGACUCGCAUUAGAUAUUUUCUCCUAAACUCGAUGAAAAUGAAGCUUGCCCACGAAAUGAGAGACAUCUCCUGCGCACCG
Molecule: long non-coding RNA, 1423 nt
Organism: Formica exsecta
Lineage: Eukaryota; Metazoa; Arthropoda; Insecta; Hymenoptera; Formicidae
Exons: 3
Source: RefSeq, a predicted model, not a curated record